This 518-nucleotide long non-coding RNA is filed under the name Cricetulus griseus (Chinese hamster). RNAcentral's name for it is "lncRNA (ENSCGRG00015029858.1)". The record is from RNAcentral. Lineage: Eukaryota; Metazoa; Chordata; Mammalia; Rodentia; Cricetidae.
GACAGGGGUAUCAGCAUCGAUUUCACAGAUUUUCAGAAUGGCCCUGUGGCAGCUUCCAGCUGAGACAUUGCAGCUCUACACUGUACCUGAAGUUCUCCCCAGUGCCCCACAGCUUCAAGUGGCCACACCCUUGGUGAAGACACCAGUGCACCUCAAGGCAGGGAAGGGUCAUUUGAAGUAGGAAGACCUGCCCUAAAAGAAGGGAGCAUCUUCCAGUGGCAGCCCAGAGAAAAGGAGGUUGGAGAAAAAAGAUUUGCAUUUUGCCUGCUUGCCUUGUGUCUCACCAUCAAGUUCAUCUGCCCUGCUGCCACUGCUGCUGCUGCACCAUAACUUCACUGGCAUUAGAACCUAGCUUCUUGAGGCUCCCGACAUGGAACACCAGUUGUUCUCCAGGUAUCCUCCAGGCUUACAGCAUCAGGUUGCAACGACCCAGGCACCCAACCUCAAAGGCCAAACAGCUACCCAGUUCUCAGCUUCUCCAGUGUAAAGAUAGCCAUUGUUGGCCUACCAAGAACACA